CUACGGGAUGCAGCAGUGAGGAAUAUUGGGCAGUGGAGGCAACUCUGACCCAGCCAUGCCGCGUGCAGGAAGACGGCCCUCUGGGUUGUAAACUGCUUUUGUUUGGGAAUAAACCCUUCUACGUGUAGGAGGCUGAAGGUACCAUUCGAAUAAGGAUCGGCUAACUCCGUGCCAGCAGCCGCGGUAAUACGGAGGAUCCAAGCGUUAUCCGGAUUUAUUGGGUUUAAAGGGUCCGUAGGCGGGUCUUUAAGUCAGUGGUGAAAGCCCACAGCUCAACUGUGGAACUGCCAUUGAUACUGGAGAUCUUGAGUGUAGUAGAAGUAGGCGGAAUAGGGCAUGUAGCGGUGAAAUGCAUAGAUAUGCCCUAGAACACCGAUUGCGAAGGCAGCUUACUAUGUUACAACUGACGCUGAGGGACGAAAGCGUGGGGAGCAAACAGGAUUAGAUACCCUGGUAGUC
RNAcentral lists this ribosomal RNA (459 nucleotides) under uncultured bacterium. RNAcentral describes it as "partial 16S ribosomal RNA". It matches the Rfam family "Bacterial small subunit ribosomal RNA", at positions 339 to 795 of the family's 1533-position model. The record is from RNAcentral.